UACGGAGGAUCCGAGCGUUAUCCGGAUUUAUUGGGUUUAAAGGGAGCGUAGGCGGGCUUUUAAGUCAGCGGUCAAAUGUCGUGGCUCAACCAUGUCAAGCCGUUGAAACUGUAAGCCUUGAGUCUGCACAGGGCACAUGGAAUUCGUGGUGUAGCGGUGAAAUGCUUAGAUAUCACGAAGAACUCCGAUCGCGAAGGCAUUGUGCCGGGGCAGCACUGACGCUGAGGCUCGAAAGCGUGGGGAUCGAA
This 248-nucleotide ribosomal RNA is filed under the name uncultured Paraprevotella sp. RNAcentral describes it as "partial 16S ribosomal RNA". It matches the Rfam family "Bacterial small subunit ribosomal RNA", at positions 524 to 772 of the family's 1533-position model. Lineage: Bacteria; Pseudomonadati; Bacteroidota; Bacteroidia; Bacteroidales; Prevotellaceae. The record is from RNAcentral.